This 570-nucleotide ribosomal RNA is filed under the name Escherichia coli. RNAcentral describes it as "partial 23S ribosomal RNA". It matches the Rfam family "Bacterial large subunit ribosomal RNA", at positions 2251 to 2820 of the family's 2925-position model. The record is from RNAcentral. Lineage: Bacteria; Pseudomonadati; Pseudomonadota; Gammaproteobacteria; Enterobacterales; Enterobacteriaceae.
ACAGUGUCUGGUGGGUAGUUUGACUGGGGCGGUCUCCUCCUAAAGAGUAACGGAGGAGCACGAAGGUUGGCUAAUCCUGGUCGGACAUCAGGAGGUUAGUGCAAUGGCAUAAGCCAGCUUGACUGCGAGCGUGACGGCGCGAGCAGGUGCGAAAGCAGGUCAUAGUGAUCCGGUGGUUCUGAAUGGAAGGGCCAUCGCUCAACGGAUAAAAGGUACUCCGGGGAUAACAGGCUGAUACCGCCCAAGAGUUCAUAUCGACGGCGGUGUUUGGCACCUCGAUGUCGGCUCAUCACAUCCUGGGGCUGAAGUAGGUCCCAAGGGUAUGGCUGUUCGCCAUUUAAAGUGGUACGCGAGCUGGGUUUAGAACGUCGUGAGACAGUUCGGUCCCUAUCUGCCGUGGGCGCUGGAGAAUUGAGGGGGGCUGCUCCUAGUACGAGAGGACCGGAGUGGACGCAUCACUGGUGUUCGGGUUGUCAUGCCAAUGGCACUGCCCGGUAGCUAAAUGCGGAAGAGAUAAGUGCUGAAAGCAUCUAAGCACGAAACUUGCCCCGAGAUGAGUUCUCCCUGACU